GACGAACGCUGGCGGCGUGCUUAACACAUGCAAGUCGAACGGAAAGGCCCUGCUUUUGUGGGGUGCUCGAGUGGCGAACGGGUGAGUAACACGUGAGUAACCUGCCCUUGACUUUGGGAUAACUUCAGGAAACUGGGGCUAAUACCGGAUAGGAGCUCCUGCUGCAUGGUGGGGGUUGGAAAGUUUCGGCGGUUGGGGAUGGACUCGCGGCUUAUCAGCUUGUUGGUGGGGUAGUGGCUUACCAAGGCUUUGACGGGUAGCCGGCCUGAGAGGGGGACCGGCCAAAUUGGGACGGAGAUACGGCCCAGACCCCUACGGGAGGAAGCAGUGGGGAAUAUGGCACAAUGGGCGGAAGCCUGAUGCAGCAACGCCGCGUGCGGGAUGACGGCCUUCGGGUUGUAAACCGCUUUCGCCGGUGACGAAGCGUGAGUGACGGUAAUGGGUAAAGAAGCACCGGCUAACUACGUG
This 468-nucleotide ribosomal RNA is filed under the name uncultured bacterium. Its description in RNAcentral is "partial 16S ribosomal RNA". It matches the Rfam family "Bacterial small subunit ribosomal RNA", at positions 28 to 507 of the family's 1533-position model. The record is from RNAcentral.